This is a long non-coding RNA of Rhododendron vialii, 596 nucleotides long. RefSeq lists it as uncharacterized. The record is from RefSeq and is a predicted model, not a curated record. Lineage: Eukaryota; Viridiplantae; Streptophyta; Magnoliopsida; Ericales; Ericaceae. The transcript is spliced from 2 exons.
CUUCAUAAUCAUCCAUCCGAGUGUUUUAACACGCUCUUCUACCAUUAGAUAUUGACACAGCUAUCUAUGAAGCACCCAACCAGAACUAGAAGUUGUCGAGUUUGGACAAGAUUUACAAGGGGAGAAAUAUGGACGUCAUAUCAUUUAGCACCCUGUAUAUUACUUCAGGCAAUCCUGAAUUUCCCUGACGUUUUUUCUCCGACUAAAGACACAAAAAUACAAUAACGGAACAAGUGCGUUUCAGUCACUGGGCGAGGUCUCGAGUAAACUUACUAAUGGGUAUCGGUUAAACAUGACAUCUAUCGAACGAGACUACAUAUUUAUGCAAAUGCAAUGUAGUUUCCAAGAUUCAAUACCAUAUGAUUGCAUUUGCAGUAACCUUCAUCCGGAGCUAAAUAGAAUUUAAAGUUGCUAUAGUCAACGCAAUACAACCGUGUGAUUUCUAACAAAUAAAGUUGCUAUGGUCAUCUACUUUCUACCUUGAAAGCUGAAACCUUGCCAUUACCGAAUCCAUCAUCGAGAUCUGUUUCCGAUAGAUCACCACUCUCAAAGAAGGAGAAGUGAAGGGCCUUAACACAUCUUUCUGCCUCGUCAUC